GUGCCAGCCGCUGCGGUAAUACAGAGGUCUCAAGCGUUGUUCGGAAUCACUGGGCGUAAAGAGUACGUAGGCUGUCAUGUAAGUCAGAAGUGAAAGGCAGGGGCUCAACCCCUGGACUGCUUUUGAUACUGCGUGACUUGAGUAAUGGAGGGGAACCGGAAUUCUCGGUGUAGCAGUGAAAUGCGUAGAUAUCGAGAGGAAGACUCGUGGCGAAGGCGGGUUCCUGGACAUUAACUGACGCUGAGGUACGAAGGCCAGAGUAUCGAAAGGAUUAGAUACCCUGUAGUUCUGGCAGUAAACGUGCACGCUUGGUGUGUGAGGAUCGACCCUUA
Molecule: ribosomal RNA, 332 nt
Filed under: uncultured Akkermansia sp.
Lineage: Bacteria; Pseudomonadati; Verrucomicrobiota; Verrucomicrobiia; Verrucomicrobiales; Akkermansiaceae
Description: bacterial SSU rRNA
Rfam family: Bacterial small subunit ribosomal RNA
Source: RNAcentral